GGGUUGUGAGGUUAAGCGACUAAGCGUACACGGUGGAUGCCCUGGCAGUCAGAGGCGAUGAAGGACGUGCUAAUCUGCGAUAAGCGCCGGUAAGGUGAUAUGAACCGUUAUAACCGGCGAUUUCCGAAUGGGGAAACCCAGUGUGACUCGUCACACUAUCAUUAACUGAAUCCAUAGGUUAAUGAGGCGAACCGGGGGAACUGAAACAUCUAAGUACCCCGAGGAAAAGAAAUCAACCGA
This 240-nucleotide ribosomal RNA is filed under the name Salmonella enterica. RNAcentral's name for it is "partial 23S ribosomal RNA". It matches the Rfam family "Bacterial large subunit ribosomal RNA", at positions 1 to 232 of the family's 2925-position model. The record is from RNAcentral. RNAcentral also lists the same sequence under 1 other name. Lineage: Bacteria; Pseudomonadati; Pseudomonadota; Gammaproteobacteria; Enterobacterales; Enterobacteriaceae.